ACGCUCGACACCUACGGGAGCAGCAGUAGGGAAUUUUCGGCAAUGGCGAAAGCCUGACCGAGCAACGCCGCGUGAAGGAAGAAGUCAUUCGUGAUGUAAAACUUCUAGUUAUAAAGGAAGAACGGCGCCUGUAGGGAAUGACAGGCGAGUGACGGUACUUUAUGAGGAAGCCACGGCUAACUACGUGUCAGCAGCCGCGGUAAUCUGAGCGGGCUGGCAAGGC
Molecule: ribosomal RNA, 223 nt
Filed under: uncultured bacterium
Lineage: Bacteria
Description: partial 16S ribosomal RNA
Rfam family: Bacterial small subunit ribosomal RNA
Source: RNAcentral